GAAUCUUCCGCAAUGGGCGAAAGCCUGACGGAGCGACGCCGCGUGAGCGAGGAAGGCCUUCGGGUCGUAAAGCUCUGUUGUCAGGGAAGAAGGCGCGCCGUUCGAAGAGGGCGGCGCGGUGACGGUACCUGACGAGGAAGCCCCGGCUAACUACGUGCCAGCAGCCGCGGUAAAACGUAGGGGGCGAGCGUUGUCCGGAAUUACUGGGCGUAAAGCGCGCGCAGGCGGUCCUUUAAGUCUGAUGUGAAAUUCCGCGGCUCAACCGCGGGUGUGCAUUGGAAACUGGGGGACUUGAGUGCGGAAGAGGGGAGCGGAAUUCCCGGUGUAGCGGUGAAAUGCGUAGAGAUCGGGAGGAACACCAGUGGCGAAGGCGGCUCUCUGGUCCGCAACUGACGCUGAGGCGCGAAAGCGUGGGGAGCGAA
Molecule: ribosomal RNA, 422 nt
Filed under: uncultured bacterium
Lineage: Bacteria
Description: bacterial SSU rRNA
Rfam family: Bacterial small subunit ribosomal RNA
Source: RNAcentral